CAAAUGAGAGGCAGGAUAUUAAUCUAAGUUUUGGGGUACUUAUUAUUGUGACUAUGCACUAGAAGAUAAUGUUGAAACAAUUCUGUAAAAAAAGGAGGAGAUAGCUAGUAUGAUUAAGAAGAAUGUUUUUCCAAUAAAGUCAGGCUCCUGCUUAUGGUUUCAGUGUACUUGAGUUUGGUAUCCCUUGAUAGUUUAUACUGUAGAGGUCAUAUUGUUGUACAUCUGGCAUUGUGUCUUUUAGGGAAAUUCUGUCUCCGGAACACCAGGUGGACUUUCAACACAUGAUACAUCCCUUUGGAGCAAAUUAACUGGGAGUAGAAAGAUGUGGGUAUAUAUUUUCUUGGUACUAAGUGAUUAGUGAAAAUAGACAUAGUGAUGAUUAUAAAUGAAAACUUAAGAAAAAUAAACAGCUGUUCUCUAUUCAGAUGUGGUAAACAUAUUUAUUCCAAAAAGAAAAAAAAAGACACAAUUUUUAUAACUAAGGAAAUGCUUAAUAAAUGGGUCAAUAAAAUUCUGACUUUUUUUUUUUAAUUUUUUUUAUUUGUUUAUGACAGUCACAGAGAGAAAGAGAGGCAGAGACACAGGCAGAGGGAGAAGCAGGCUCCAUGCACCGGGAGCCCGACGUGGGAUUCGAUCCCGGGUCUCCAGGAUCGCGCCCUGGGCCAAAGGCAGGCGCCAAACCGCUGCGCCACCCAGGGAUCCCAAAAUUCUGACUUUUAAAGUUGUCCAAACAAAUAACUACAACAUUCAAAUUCCAAUACAGAUGUUUGCACCAGGUGUGUGUCACUUCACGUACAGCAUUUAUGACUCAGAAACAGCUCUAUUUCAAGUCCGUGUUUGAUAGCUUAUGUCAGAAAACUAUAUUGGGCAAACGUCAUGGUAAUGAAAAUCUCAGAGGAGAGGAGACUUUGGAGCAGGACAACUUGGCCUUGAAUCUUGGUUAUAAUACCAGCUAUUUGGCAUAAGUCCCUAGUUUCUACACGUGUAAAAUGUGAGUAAUGAUGAUAAUAGCACCUACCUCACAGGAUGUUUUUAAGAUUAAGUGAGAUAACAGAUGAAAAGCACCCAGCAUAUUACUUGAGCGAAACACACUAAAUCUUGAAGAGCCAGUAGAUAUUGCUGUGAUUCUUUCUAGAUCAGUAAACUUCAUGAAGGAGGUGGGGAUGGUGGUAGAGCAGCCAUCUAUUAUAUUUCCAACCCAACCAGCUGCCUCACCAUUAUGUGCUGUGGGCCAGAAGAGCAAAGAGAUUACAG
RNAcentral lists this long non-coding RNA (1254 nucleotides) under Canis lupus familiaris (dog). RNAcentral's name for it is "lncRNA (ENSCAFG00845000651.1)". The record is from RNAcentral. Lineage: Eukaryota; Metazoa; Chordata; Mammalia; Carnivora; Canidae.